GGAGGACCUUCAUAAUAGAAUAAUCCAACUGGAAAAACAGCUGGAUGCCAAGCAAGCACUAGAGUUGGAAAUUGAGCGUCUACGUGGGACGUUGAAUGUCAUGAAGCACAUGGAAGAUGAUGAGGAUGUGGAAGUCCUCCAGAAGGCAGAGUCAACACUAAAAGAGUUGAGUGAAAAGGAAGGAGAACUUGAAGCGCUCGAUGAGCUUAACCAAGCAUUGAUAGUAAAGCAGCGCAUGAGUAAU
RNAcentral lists this unclassified non-coding RNA (244 nucleotides) under Hevea brasiliensis (rubber tree). The record is from RNAcentral. Lineage: Eukaryota; Viridiplantae; Streptophyta; Magnoliopsida; Malpighiales; Euphorbiaceae.